Molecule: transfer RNA, 73 nt
Filed under: Thermoleophilia bacterium
Lineage: Bacteria; Bacillati; Actinomycetota; Thermoleophilia
Also listed under: 1 other name
Description: tRNA-Arg
Rfam family: tRNA
About the family: Transfer RNA (tRNA) molecules are approximately 80 nucleotides in length. Their secondary structure includes four short double-helical elements and three loops (D, anti-codon, and T loops).
Source: RNAcentral
GGGCCCGUAGCUCAGGGGAUAGAGCACCAGGCUUCGAACCUGGGUGUCGCACGUUCGAAUCGUGCCGGGCCCA